GAUGAAGAACGUAGCGAAAUGCGAUAAGUAGUGUGAAUUGCAGAAUUCAGUGAAUCAUCGAAUCUUUGAACGCACAUUGCGCCCCUUGGUAUCCCGAGGGGCAUGCCGGUUCGAGCGUCAUUUCACCACUCAAGCCUGGCUUGGUGUUGGGCGACGUCCCCUUUGGGGACGCGCCUCGAAACGCUCGGCGGCGUGGCACCGGCUUUAAGCGUAGCAGAAUCUUUCGCUUUGGAAGUCGGGGCCCCGUCUGCCGGAAGACCUACUCGCAAGGUUGACCUCGGAUCAGGCAGGGAUACCCGCUGAACUUAAGCAUAUCAAUAAGCGGAGGA
This 329-nucleotide unclassified non-coding RNA is filed under the name soil metagenome. Its description in RNAcentral is "partial contains 5.8S ribosomal RNA, internal transcribed spacer 2, and large subunit ribosomal RNA". The stretch from base 1 to 120 matches the Rfam family "5.8S ribosomal RNA", at positions 35 to 154 of the family's 154-position model. The record is from RNAcentral.